GGAAACAGAACUCGAGUGGUUGAGUGUCUCCCUUUUAAGGUGAAAGUCCCGGUUCAAACCCGGGUGUUUCCU
This 72-nucleotide transfer RNA is filed under the name Rhizopogon vinicolor. RNAcentral describes it as "tRNA-Lys". It matches the Rfam family "tRNA". From Rfam's summary of the family: Transfer RNA (tRNA) molecules are approximately 80 nucleotides in length. Their secondary structure includes four short double-helical elements and three loops (D, anti-codon, and T loops). Lineage: Eukaryota; Fungi; Basidiomycota; Agaricomycetes; Boletales; Rhizopogonaceae. The record is from RNAcentral.